CCUGGGGAGUACGGCCGCAAGGCUAAAACUCAAAGGAAUUGACGGGGACCCGCACAAGCGGCGGAGCAUGCGGAUUAAUUCGAUGCAACGCGAAGAACCUUACCAAGGCUUGACAUAUACGAGAACGGGCCAGAAAUGGUCAACUCUUUGGACACUCGUAAACAGGUGGUGCAUGGUUGUCGUCAGCUCGUGUCGUGAGAUGUUGGGUUAAGUCCCGCAACGAGCGCAACCCUCGUUCUAUGUUGCCAGCACGUAAUGGUGGGAACUCAUGGGAUACUGCCGGGGUCAACUCGGAGGAAGGUGGGGAUGACGUCAAAUCAUCAUGCCCCUUAUGUCUUGGGCUUCACGCAUGCUACAAUGGCCGGUACAAAGGGCUGCAAUACCGCGAGGUGGAGCGAAUCCCAAAAAGCCGGUCCCAGUUCGGAUUGAGGUCUGCAACUCGACCUCAUGAAGUCGGAGUCGCUAGUAAUCGCAGAUCAGCAACGCUGCGGUGAAUACGUUCCCGGGUCUUGUACACACCGCCCGUCAAGUCAUGAAAGUCGGUAACACCUGA
Molecule: ribosomal RNA, 553 nt
Filed under: Microbacterium sp.
Lineage: Bacteria; Bacillati; Actinomycetota; Actinomycetes; Micrococcales; Microbacteriaceae
Description: bacterial SSU rRNA
Rfam family: Bacterial small subunit ribosomal RNA
Source: RNAcentral